Molecule: ribosomal RNA, 292 nt
Filed under: uncultured Acidobacteriota bacterium
Lineage: Bacteria; Pseudomonadati; Acidobacteriota
Description: uncultured Acidobacteria bacterium partial 16S ribosomal RNA
Source: RNAcentral
GGACUACAGGGGUAUCUAAUCCUGUUUGCUACCCACACUUUCGCGCCUCAGCGUCAGUUACUGUCCAGGUGGCCGCCUUCGCCACUGGUGUUCCUCCUCAUCUCUACGCAUUUCACCGCUACACGAGGAAUUCCACCACCCUCUCCAGCACUCUAGCCUCCCAGUCUCAGAUGCAGUUCCCAAGUUGAGCUCGGGGAUUACACAUCUGACUUAAGAAACCGCCUACGCGCCCUUUACGCCCAAUAAUUCCGAAUAACGCUUGCCCCCUCUGUAUUACCGCGGCUGCUGGCAC